UGUGAAUAUUGUGUAUUGCAGUCAUGUUACGAUAUUGGAGAUCUAGAGCUUCUUAAAAACACCUUAGGCACAUCGGAAUAUAGCCGAGAACUCAGUAUCACUGCACGCAGCUGCAUAGAAUGGUGUAAAGGAUCGGUGGUCUGCACCACCGAGACGUGCAAAUGCAGAAAAACUAUGGUAUUCGUGGAAGUAAAUGUCACCCAAAACAGUAACAGUGGUCAGCGAAAUCUAAUCCAAAGCACGCAUCUCACGAGACUUUAACGAGAUUGUCAUUUUGAUUCUAUCACGACAAGUACACCACCUCGCUUCGAUUUAUUUUACAUCAAGCAUUUCAAAACAGCAUAAUGUAAGGGACGACAUCAAAAGUUCAAUGUAGGAUAAAAAACUUAAUUCACAUAGUGUUUUCACUGACACCCCCACCCCCCUCUUAACUUAAUUUAGGAAAAAUUGAUUUACCAAUAGGGAUAUAUGUAAAAAUCGAUUUUAAAUAUACAAAACUUGUAGAAUUUUAACCCCCCACCCCCAAACUAUUUGAUUUAAGUUUUUUAUCCUACAUCGAUCUUUUGAUGUCGUCCCUAAGUAUAUAUUUCAAUUUCGUAUAUGAAUUACCUUGUUUUAUUCAGUUUGUAGUAGUUAUUAGUUAAAAUAUUGCGACGAUUAACGUUUUAAUGCAGUAUAUAAUGAGGGGAAAGCUUGGCCGACAUGCACGUUAUGGAAAUUUUUAACAAGGUCGUAAUUUUUAUCAAAACAUUUUCAUUCGAAAAGGAAUAAAACAAUUUGUGUGAUGAAUAAUUUUCCCCCAGACAUAUUGUUUUUUGUGUAAUAAGUUGUUAUUUCAUAUUUUCACCCACUUUUAUGCAAUUUACAAUUAAAAAUCAGUAUUUUAGUUGUCGGCCAUUUUUUUUUUGCUUCAAUAUCAAGACAGACCCCUGUCUGUUUACACUUUAUAAACUUUUCCGUCUUCAGAGAAAUAUUGUACCCCAGCACAUGCAUUACUUUCCUAUGACAAACUGGAUUGGGAUAUAGAGGUUGUUUUUUCAUAUUUUCAACCACUUUGAUGCAAUUUACAAUUAAAAAUCAGUAUUCUGGUUGUCGGCAUGUUUUUUUUGGCUUCAAUAUCAAGACAGACCCCUGUCUGUUUACACUUUAUAAACUUUUCCGUCUUCAGAGAAAUAUUGUACCCAGCACAUGCAUUACUUUCCUAUGACAAACUGGAUUGGGAUAUAGAGGUUGUUUUUUUCAUAUUUUCAACCACUUUGAUGCAAUUUACAAUCAAAAAUCAGUAUUAUAGCUGUCGGCCAUGGUGUUUUGCUUCAAUACCAAGAGAGACCCCUGUCCGUUUACACUUUAUAAACUUUUGCAUCUUCAGAGAAUUAUUGUACCCAGCACAUGCAUUACUUUCCUAUGACUUUGAUGCAAUUUACAAUUAAAAAUAAGUAUUUUAGGUGUUGGCCUUGUUCAUUUUAUUCAAUAUUUAGAGAGACCUUUGUAAAAGGCUACAGAUUAUAAACUUGUCAAUCUUUAGAGAAUAAAUGUACCAAUAACAUGAAUAACAUUGCUAUGACAUACUGGAUAUGUGUACACAAGUUGUAUUUUUCAUAUUUUCACCAACUGUGAUGCAAUUUACAAUUAAAAACAGUAUUAUAGCUGUCGGUCAUUUUAAUAUUCUUCAAUAUACAGACAGACCCCUGUCCGUGGCUACAGUUUAUAAACUUGUCCAUCUUUAGAGAAAAAUUGUACCCAUCACAUGAUUUAAUUUCACAAGACGCUGGAUUUGUGUAUAAAAAUUGUUUUUUUUUUUUCAUUAUUUCCACCACUUUGAUGACAUUUACAAUUUUAUAUAUAUAUAUUUACAUUCAGUAUCUGACAGCUUUUUUUUAACAGGAUCCUGCAUGUUAUAAAGAACAAGGAUGUUGAUCAAAUUUUCCUAACAGUGCAGCAUACAAGAGAUAUAAUAUCAUACAUGAAUGUAGGACUCCCAAGUCUUUCUGAUUGAAAAUAAGACUCCCUGGCAAACAGGAACAACUAUUAGUGAUGACUUUAUCCAAAUGUGAUACUUAACAAUGGUUUUGUAAGAGAGAAAAUUACAUGUGCUUAUCCUGACUGUAAAAACACCAUACUAUUGUAGUUCAUAUGCCAAACUUGAUGUACAUGUGUAUGCGAUUUUUGUGCAAUUGAUGACGAGACCAUUGAACUAAAAACAAAUACAAGACUCUGCAUUCAAUCUAUUGAAUUUGAAGCAGAAGUAAUACAGUGGCAGUUGUGCAGAUGGAUAAAAAAGCAAAUAAAUAUCUUGUGUUCAACUUCAAUUGUCUUCUUUAUGUUUACAAAGUAUACAUGUACAUGUAUAACAAUAUGGUGAUGUAGUAUGAUUGCUAAUGAGACAAUGAUUUACAUGUAUGACUAUCAUUGGAAGGCCACUCUAUAAUAUCUUUGUACAUCAUGAGAAUGGACAAUGCUACCCUUGUAGCAUAAAGGUAGCAUAAUGUAAAAAAAGAGAAACUAUUCAUUUAUCUUACAACACCCCUGUGAUAUAUCUUGACAGUACUAAAUAGCAAAAUAUUUCGUUUCACAAAUUCCUUCCUCUCCAUGGAAAGUAACAUAUUUAAUUGUUUACAUGAAAUGACAAAAUGUGUAAAAAAAGAAGCAAGAAAUGUUCACUCUACUACUGUACACUAGUCGCUCACAUUGGUCACCAUCUGUGUUUGUUUCAGUCCUUUAACAAAUUGUCAAUGGUGCUUAUUUAUAUUUAUCUGUUUCAGUUUUACAUGUCCUCAUUCUGUGAUCACUAUUUCACCUCUCCUGUUUUAAAAAAAAAUGUUUAUGCUAAUAUUUUCUGCAAUAAAUUGAAAAGGCACAGAUGCUAUGACUAAACAGAAAUGUGAGGUAUAUGUCAUUGAGACAACAACCCAACGACAACAAUAUUCUUUGCACAUCUAUGAAUGUUUAAGAAUUCUUGUGAAGGUCAAAAGCACAUAACAUGUACUUAUAUAUCCAUAACCUGGUACAUGUAUGUACCUAUUGAUGCAUUCCGUCCUAAACAUAAGUUGUGUGAAGAGACCAAGCAGUUUAUAU
Molecule: long non-coding RNA, 3075 nt
Filed under: Mytilus galloprovincialis (Mediterranean mussel)
Lineage: Eukaryota; Metazoa; Mollusca; Bivalvia; Mytilida; Mytilidae
Source: RNAcentral